This 719-nucleotide ribosomal RNA is filed under the name Dermacoccus sp. RNAcentral describes it as "bacterial SSU rRNA". It matches the Rfam family "Bacterial small subunit ribosomal RNA", at positions 95 to 827 of the family's 1533-position model. Lineage: Bacteria; Bacillati; Actinomycetota; Actinomycetes; Micrococcales; Dermacoccaceae. The record is from RNAcentral.
GUGGCGAACGGGUGAGUAACACGUGAGUAACCUGCCCCUCACUCUGGGAUAAGCCUGGGAAACUGGGUCUAAUACUGGAUACGACCGAUCUCCGCAUGGAGUGUUGGUGGAAAGUUUUUGUGGUGGGGGAUGGACUCGCGGCCUAUCAGCUUGUUGGUGGGGUAAUGGCCUACCAAGGCGACGACGGGUAGCCGGCCUGAGAGGGCGACCGGCCACACUGGGACUGAGACACGGCCCAGACUCCUACGGGAGGCAGCAGUGGGGAAUAUUGCACAAUGGGCGAAAGCCUGAUGCAGCGACGCCGCGUGAGGGAUGACGGCCUUCGGGUUGUAAACCUCUUUCACCAGGGACGAAGCUAACGUGACGGUACCUGGAGAAGAAGCACCGGCUAACUACGUGCCAGCAGCCGCGGUAAUACGUAGGGUGCGAGCGUUGUCCGGAAUUAUUGGGCGUAAAGAGCUUGUAGGCGGUUUGUCGCGUCUGCUGUGAAAGACCGGGGCUUAACUCCGGUUCUGCAGUGGGUACGGGCAGACUAGAGUGUGGUAGGGGAGACUGGAAUUCCUGGUGUAGCGGUGAAAUGCGCAGAUAUCAGGAGGAACACCGAUGGCGAAGGCAGGUCUCUGGGCCAUUACUGACGCUGAGAAGCGAAAGCAUGGGGAGCGAACAGGAUUAGAUACCCUGGUAGUCCAUGCCGUAAACGUUGGGCGCUAGGUGUGGGA